UAGGGAAUAUUCCACAAUGAGCGAAAGCUUGAUGGAGCGACACAGCGUGCACGAUGAAGGCCCUCGGGUUGUAAAGUGCUGUUGCAAGGGAAGAACAGUUAGUUGAGGAAAUGCUUCUAAUCUGACGGUACCUUGUUAGAAAGCGAUGGCUAACUAUGUGCCAGCAGCCGCGGUAAUACAUAGGUCGCAAGCGUUAUCCGGAAUUAUUGGGCGUAAAGCGUUCGUAGGCUGUUUAUUAAGUCUGGAGUCAAAUCCCAGGGCUCAACCCUGGCUCGCUUUGGAUACUGGUAAACUAGAGUUAGAUAGAGGUAAGCGGAAUUCCAUGUGGAGCGGUGAAAUGCGUAGAUAUAUGGAAGAACACCAAAGGCGAAGGCAGCUUACUGGGUCUAUACUGACGCUGAGGGACGAAAGCGUGGGGAGCAAACAGGACUAGAUACCCUGGUAGUCCACGCUGUAAACGAUGAUCAUUAGUCGGUGGAAAACUACUGACGCAGCUAACGCAUUAAAUGAUCCGCCUGAGUAGUAUGCUCGCAAGAGUG
Molecule: ribosomal RNA, 539 nt
Filed under: uncultured bacterium
Lineage: Bacteria
Description: bacterial SSU rRNA
Rfam family: Bacterial small subunit ribosomal RNA
Source: RNAcentral